GGCCACAGCCAUAUCACCCUGCAGCCCAAGACCGGUUACUCACUGAAGCUAAGCAGGGCUGAGCCUGGUUAUUACCUGGAUGGGAGACCACUAGGGAACACUAGGUUGCUGUUGGAA
RNAcentral lists this ribosomal RNA (117 nucleotides) under Danio rerio (zebrafish). Lineage: Eukaryota; Metazoa; Chordata; Actinopteri; Cypriniformes; Danionidae. The record is from RNAcentral.